GCCCUAGGCUGACGCUCACAUGACUCGUGUGUAGGGGGUAGCCCUUGCAGGUGGGGUUUUGACCCCCAGCCCCUGCUCACCCAGGGCUCCAGACAGCUCCACACGCCUGCGCGUUGUUUCUUCUUUGAGUCCCAGCUGUUACCUCGCUGCGAGGUCCUGAGCACCCGACUCUCCCGCUGGCGUAAGGGGAGGCCCCUGGGAGUCUGAGUGGGCUGGGCCCCCGCGAGCCCCCAGGGGCCCAAAACCAGAGUAGCCACAGUAGGGCAGCUGGGUGGAGGGUCUGGGCGCCCAAAAGCAGUGCUGGGCAGAGGGCAGGUGGAGGUGGGGCUGUCCCCUCUAAUGCCACCGCAAGGUUCUGGUCGGACCCCGAGGGGGAAAUGAAUGGGGUAGAUGGUCCCAGUCCUCCCCGCCCCGCUGCCCUCCCUGGGGGCAGUGUGGGGAACAGGCCACCUCAUGGCGCAGUGAGCCUGUAGCCCCGCCCGAGGAAGGCAGCUUGGGCUUGGGGGCCAGGCCCAGCUCCCCGCAGGUGUGCCCACAUGCCCUGAGCUGUGUACACAGAGUGUGGCAAGUCCAGGAGAGCUCUGGGGCCUGGCUGGCCCGGGGCUCUGGUGGACGCUGGACUCGUGGCUAGUGCAGGGCCCUGCUCGCCAGAAAAGGGCCUUGACUUGUGUCUAGCAUGUGCCAGACCCUCUGCUCGUGGGGGGUCCCAGACUGAGUUAGAGCUUGCUGACACAAGUUUCCAGAAUUGGGGGAAUGUUGUGCUGAAUAUUUACUUUUUAAAAGACACACACACAAAAAAGCGUAUUUCUCAGGCUGUAAAAGUCAGUCUUCACAGCUAUUCCUGGUGCGUAGGAGAGUGAGCUUUCUCAAUGUUUUCUCGACGUUUUCUUAAAGGAAACCUCUCACUGGUUCUCUCAGGUGUGGCACUUGGCUGCUGGGAACAGACACAGUUUAUCUUACAGAGAACACUGUUUUGCAAGAGGUUUCCCACAAUUAUGGUCUGAGGGAGGGUCCCUGCCAGCUUGUCUUAGUCACUUGAGCUUAAGGGAAAGUUGGGUGGUUUUUUUUUUUUUUGNNNUAUUCUUUCUUUCUUUUUUUUUUUUUUUUAAAUCUGAAAGCAAGAGCCGUCUGGGAGCAGGCACACGUGGGUACUCACCCCCAGUCAGGGAAACAGAAGGGCUGCUGACUGGCGUUCCUGUGCCCCCGAAGGUGGCUGCCGGCUUUGGGUGGAAUGUCACAAAGCACUCAGACUGGGGGAUGCACGUGGAGUGAGCUGGAGGCCACGAGAGGACAGACCACGCCAGGCUCUGUGGAAUGGAAUCCUGAAUCCAGCGGCGCUCUGGGCGCUGGAGAACACAGUCCCUUUAAACCA
This 1372-nucleotide long non-coding RNA is filed under the name Capra hircus (goat). RNAcentral's name for it is "lncRNA (ENSCHIG00010009585.1)". The record is from RNAcentral. Lineage: Eukaryota; Metazoa; Chordata; Mammalia; Artiodactyla; Bovidae.